RNAcentral lists this long non-coding RNA (5176 nucleotides) under Homo sapiens (human). RNAcentral describes it as "non-protein coding lnc-ATPAF2-2:5". The record is from RNAcentral. Lineage: Eukaryota; Metazoa; Chordata; Mammalia; Primates; Hominidae.
GUGGGCUACCACACCUGGCUAAUGUUUUUUUGUAGAGACAGGGUCCCACUAUGUUGCCCAGGAUGGUCUUGAACUCCUUGCCCCCGGGCAAUAUUCCUGCCUCAGCCUCCCAAAGUGUUGGGUUUACAGGUAUGAUCCACUGUGCCCAUCCUGGAUGCAGACUUUAAGCAGAGUCACAUCAACAAGAAGAGCUGUGAAGGUCAGGGCAUGACCCACAGAUGCCCAAACACUGCACUGGAGGUCCAGGAAGAUUCUGCUGACAACGCAACCCUGAGCCAAGAUCUGAAGGAUAAGAGGGAGCUUAUAACAUGGAAGAAGGAACAGUAUUCCUGGCAAGUGGAACAGCAUGUGCAAAGGUCAGGUGGUAAGAGGGGCUUCAAGGACAGUCCUAUGGCUGGAGCAGAGUGAUUGAGGGCAUGUGAAAUGAGAGGUGGCCAGGGUGGCAGGCAGGGACUAGCCCAAUGGCCGUGAAAGGGAUGGGACUUUGGUCACUGUUUCGCAUUUCCAGAUGUUUACUAUGUGCCAGGCUUGGUACUAAAUGCUUUUCUGGAAUAUCUCACUAGAUUCUCACAUAGAUGAAGGGCUUGAUCUUAGAGAGGUUAGAUCCCUCAGCCGAGAGCCCACAGUGAGGAAGCCAUGGGGCCUGUGUCCCUGACUGCAAGACCUGUGCUCAGAACGGCCAGGCCACACAGACCUCAACUCUCACUACAACCUCCUGAAGUCGGUGUGGUUACUCUUCCCACUUUACAGAUGAGGACAUGGGCCCAGAGAGGUUAUGUGAGUGACACAGCUUGAAGGUGGAGUUAAGCCUGGGCAGUCUGGCUUCAGAGUGUCCACAGUCUCAACCACUGCCUCACAUGGCUUCUUAGAAAAUAUUAUAAAAAGAAGCUCGGGCUGCCAUGUGGAAAAGAAUGGAGAGGGGACAAUGACACAGCUGGGAGCAUGCUGUGAUGGUGUACAGCGGACACAUUCAGGAUGAGGUGAAACAGGCUGGCCCUGGUGAGAGGCUAGAUGGGGCUGGGAUGAGGGUGGAGACAAGUAGUCUUGGGGUUGGCUUGGUGCAGCUGGGGGGUGCGGGGAGUGUCUCUGAGGUGAGGCCGGGGGUAUGGGAACGCCAUGUUUGGUCUGGGACACGGUGGGCUUGGGAUGGCUACAGGACAGUGCAGUGGAGAGUCAAAAAGGCUGCUCGGACCCAGGUCUGGCGAGAUGGAAGCUGGAGGUCAGGUGAGCUGUCUAGGAGAGGGACAGAGUGGGAAGGAGAGGGUCUCGACUCGGCUUUCUUGCCAAAGGAGGGUUCCGAAAUGAGAAACUGUGGAAUCUAAGCUGGAGAGGAAGAAAGACGGAGAAUGAGUGAACGCACACGUGUGGGACAGAUAGAUGAAUAUUCAUGUCUUUGGCUCCUAUGUACCUGAGUCUUCUAAAGCUGCAGGCCAUACUACCCCCGGGAGGCUGCAGGGAUGCCAGCUGGGAGAUGAAUGCAACUCUGCUGCCUGGGCAUGGGCCUGAGUGAGGGUGCAGACCCCUGCCUGUGAUCAUCAGGGAGGGUGAUGAGAACAAGGUGGCUGACAGGGUGAGGCCCAAGCCUGGAGCUUACCCAGCUGCAGGAUCCCUUGCUCGCUCUCUCACAAGCAAAUGUAGACUGCGCAACCAUCCUGACCACAGAUCCAGAAAGCCCAGGACAUAACAGAGCCGCAGUGCCUGCCCUGAUCCACGCGCACACAGAUCUAGCCCAGGAACAAGCCCAUCCACGGAGUGAGCAGCUGACAGGGGAGCCACGAACAGCCUGGAGAGCUGAGCAUGGGCCUGCUCCACACUCCAGCGGGGCCCGAGGCCCCCGGGAACUCUACCCCUCCUGGCAGCCUCACAGAACCUGCUGCAUCCAUCUCAAAAGGCAUACCUCCUCCAGGAAGCCUUCCCCGCUGCUCAGAGGUCUUAAAUCCGGGGUCUGCACUCACAAACUGUGCAGCCUACACCAGCUUCUGGGGGACAGCAGAACACUGUGGGGGGCCUGGCACAGUCCCUGGCACACGAGCCUCCCUGCCAGCCCAGAUGGUCACAAGGGCCUCCUGGGAUGCUGCCCACCUUGGCAGCCAGGCCCCUCCGGAGGGGCCAGUCUGGGCCUGACACCCCCGAACACCAACCCCCUGGGCAGAGCCUGCCUGUGCCUGGGUGAGGAACCCUGCAGUCUCCUUGCCACACAAGGCCUGGGUCUGCCUUGGGGCCCAGGCUGCACCCUCUCCGACCCCCAGGCCCAAUGUCUGACCUGUGCCCACCUGACUCAACCUGGCUACUGUUCAGCAAGUUUACAAAGUGUUCUCAGUCUGAACAGGAACCGUUUUCAAUCCUUUAUUUCAGAAAGGAGAGCCAGGAGAACUGGGGACUUAGAAAAUACAGAUCCUAAACUCAAAAGUCCCUGCCCCAGGCGUGCAGAGCCAGGGUCCUGGGGUUUUGUGCUGGGCAGGGGCUGCCCUGGGAGGGGGAAUACAGGGGGAGGCACUUUAGGACACCCCUUAGGCUGUGGAGGGUGUCAGCUGGGCCUUUGAAGCCACUAACCACUGGUUCCCAUCAUGGAGAGCCCUGUGUGGGGCACCCAAGGGGGUUUCCUCCUGGAAGGGCCCCCAACCCAAGUGUCAGAGAAGCUGGCAAGAGCUGAGGGAGUGAGGUGCCAUGACAGCAGCCACAGCCUCCAGGGACCCAAACAGGCCCAGCUACCAGCCUGGCACUGAGCAUGCCAUCUGCUUUAGGCCCUGGCUGGCGGGCAUGUGGGCAACUUGCUCCCUCAGUGCAGGGGGCUGGGAGGCACAGAUGCAGGCUCAGCACUACAAACUCAAAACCCCCAUGAGAGGGCUCAGUCUUAUGGGAAAUGCCUCCAACCGAGCCCCUUUGCCCCAACACACUCUUCGUCUGCCUACUGAAGAAACUUCUGUAAAUAGCAGAGACUUGAGGGACCCCUUCCUGGGGUACGUGUAUUUGUAUUUUUCUGUUUGGGUGUUUGUGUGUCCCAGUGGGACCACCUCCCCAGGGAGACGAGGCAGGUGGGCGGGAGGCCCGGCAGGCGCCGUUACUUCUUCACGAUCUGGAUGACGUCCUCAUGCUCCAUGGUGUGGGUCAGGCCCACCCGCUGCGGACUGUACUUGGUGCUGGUGCCCUGGGUGAGGAAUGGGGGCAGAGGGGUCACCUCAGCCUGGACUGGCCAAGGUCAAGGAAGAUAUCCCUGGGCGUGUGUGUCCUGAAGGGUAAAUGCCAUGGCAUAAGGUGGGGGCCUCAGGCAGCAGGAUGUCCGCAGUUGUCUGACCAUCCCUGAUCUCAAAGGUUGGGGAGGGCCAGGCACAGUGGCUAAUGCCUGUAAUCCCAGCACUUCUGGAGGUCAAGGUGGGAGGAUCACUUGAGCUCAGGUGUUUGAGACAGCCUGGGCCAGAUAGCGAAACCUUGUCUCCAUGAAAAAUUAGCCAGGCAUGGUGGUGUGUGCCUGUAGUCCCAGCUACUUGUGAUGCUGAGGUGGGAGGAUCGCUUUUGCACAGAUGUCGAGGCUGCACUGGGCCAUGAUCGUGCCACUGCACUCCAGCGUGGGAGACAGAGCCAGACCCUGUCUCAAAAAAAAAAAAAAAAAAAAACCAGAAAAAAAAAAGGGUGGGGAAGGCCCAUGUCUACCCUGGGUUGGCAUGUACAUUCUAUGGAGGACAGACACACAGACAUGCCAAUCCCCACAGGAAGGACAGGAACACCACGCAGAGAGUGUGAAUGCCUUGCUUCAUGCCUAACCCAGGGGCUGUCCUGGGUCUACCCCCCUGGUUGCUUUCCACCCAGAGACUCACCCACACCAGGGCGUACUUGAACUGGCUGGCGAGUGACCGGUGGAUGCGGUGGCACUGGAGGACAGGAGAGAGUCAGGUAGAGAGGUCUUCCAGGCCCUGGUGGGAGACCCAACACCUCAGCCCAGCGUCCCUGGGGCGGAGGCCGGCGCCAGGCCUGCAGGAACACUUCCUUGACACAGAUGGGAAGGUGGCUGACUCUGGUCUGCAGAUGGGUUUUGUUUUACUCAGCUUGCCCAGCAUUGCCACUUGAUACAGAUCCCAAGAAGAAAUGAGCUAGAGGAAAACAACACCAGGAAAGCAUCAGCCCAGGAGGACGGCCAUGUGACCUGAAGGUUGGCCACCAUCUGUGCCUGCAGGGUCAUGUUCAGGUGACAGAAUCCUGGACAGGGAAAGGCAGCCUCUUGCUCCCUGAGCCCAGACCACCUCCCCUGGGGCCUGUGCAUGCCUGCUCCCCUACCUGGGAUGCUCCCCACCCCAACUCUUCACUGCCAGACCCACUAGUCCUAUAAGCCGGCUCAGGUUGCCUCCUUGAAGCCGCUGUCCUGACCUCUGUGUUAAGCUGGUGCCACUCCCUACUCUCCUUGACUGAUGCCUGAAUGGCAUGGAAGCAGGGUUACUGGCAUCUCUGCAAAGCCAGGCAGCAUGCUGAGUGCCCUACACACUGGACCUCAUUCAACGUGUCCUCCUGACUAUCCAGGGGGCAGGCAGCACACCCCCCUCACAGUAGAGGUCAGAGCCUCGGCACAUGGCUAAGAAGGGGUGCUGCAGACGCAGCCCCAGGCUGUCCAACUCCAGAGCCUGCGUUGACAUCUGAGAGUGAGACCAGCAGAGCCCACCCCCAGCCCAGGGCACCUCAGGCAGAACAGAGCCCCAAAGGGCAUGCAGAGCUCCCACCCCUUGUCACGGCAGGUCUUGUCAACUCACCACGUGCUCCACUGAGGCCCCUUUCCGGAGAAUGAUGGCGUCUGUGAAGUCUGGCCUCUCUGCAGGGCAGGAUGGGGAGAACGUCAGCCACACAUCAGGGCCCACACUGCCAUCUUGUGAUUCUGCGCGAGGGAAGAGCUGGCCACAGAGGCCCUUUCGGUCUCCUUGCCUUGGCCUAACCUCCCCCUGACAUCCAGCACACCCUCCACAUAGAUCCCUGUACCAUCUUCUACGACCUUGAUCUUAACACAGUGACUCAAAAUAAAUCACGUCUAGGAUUCACAGUGCCUGCCACCCAUCUGCUGUGACAGCACUGACAGAGACCAGGACCUGGACUGAACGGGCAGGGCGCAAAGGGAUGCUGGAGUCUAGUGAGGGAAGCUGUAGCUCACUCCUUGCCAAAGUCAGGGUUGAUGCAAACUGCUCCGAAUUCAGCU